UAUUACCGAAACUGUGGAUGAACCUCUUUAGAGGUUCGUGGUAGGAGAGCGUUCUAAGGGCGGUGAAGUCAGACCGGAAGGACUGGUGGAGCGCUUAGAAGUGAGAAUGCCGGUAUGAGUAGCGAAAGAAGGGUGAGAAUCCCUUCCACCGAAUAUCUAAGGUUUCCUGAGGAAGGCUCGUCCGCUCAGGGUUAGUCGGGACCUAAGCCGAGGCCGAUAGGCGUAGGCGAUGGACAACAGGUAGAGAUUCCUGUACCAGUGCUAAUUGUUUAACCGAUGGGGUGACACAGAAGGAUAGGGAAUCGCACGAAUGGAAAUGUGCGUCCAAGCAGUGAGUGUGAG
Molecule: ribosomal RNA, 342 nt
Filed under: Listeria monocytogenes serotype 1/2b
Lineage: Bacteria; Bacillati; Bacillota; Bacilli; Caryophanales; Listeriaceae
Description: partial 23S ribosomal RNA
Rfam family: Bacterial large subunit ribosomal RNA
Source: RNAcentral